RNAcentral lists this ribosomal RNA (2012 nucleotides) under human gut metagenome. Its description in RNAcentral is "bacterial LSU rRNA". It matches the Rfam family "Bacterial large subunit ribosomal RNA", at positions 831 to 2925 of the family's 2925-position model. The record is from RNAcentral.
AAUCGAACCCGGAGAUAGCUGGUUCUCUCCGAAAUAGCUUUAGGGCUAGCCUCGACUGAACAUUACCGGAGGUAAAGCACUGAAUGGGCUAGGGGCCGAGAGGUUACUGAACCCUAUCAAACUAAGAAUGCCGGAUAAUGAUAGUCGGGAGUCAGACAGUGUGAGAUAAGUUUCAUUGUCGAAAGGGAAACAGCCCAGACCCACAGCUAAGGUCCCAAAGUAUCGUUAAGUGGAAAAGGAUGUGGAACUGCCCAGACAACCAGGAUGUUGGCUCAGAAGCAGCCAUACAUUCAAAGAGUGCGUAAUAGCUCACUGGUCGAGUGGUUCUGCGCCGAAAAUUUAACGGGGCUAAACGAUACACCGAAGCUUGGGAUGCAGCAUUGGCUGCAUGGUAGGAGAGCGUUCUGUACGGGGUGAAGUCAUAGCGGAAGCGGUGGUGGACUGUACAGAAGAGAGAAUGCCGGAAUGAGUAGCGAGAUUUAUGUGAGAAUCAUAAAGGCCGAAAGACUAAGGAUUUAGAAGGAAGGUUCGUCCGCUUCUAGUUAGCCGGGAGCUAAGGCGAGGCCGAAAGGCGUAGUCGAUGCACAUACGGUGGAGAUUCCGUAGCCGCCUCUUAAUUUAAGCAAAGGGACACUUUCAAAGGGAAUGACCCGGGCGUUGGUAGCCCCGGGCGAAAGGGACCGAAAUUAGAGUAGGGAAGCAUUUCUGGAGGAAGGCGAGAAAAGCUUUGCGGAUAGAGAGAGGCGCCCGUACCGCAAACCGACACAGGUAGUCAGGAAGAGGAUUCUAAGGCCAACGGGAGAAGGGUAGUUAAGGAACUCGGCAAAUUGACCCCGUAACUUCGGAAUAAGGGGUGCUCCUGAAAAGGAGCCGCAGUGAAUAGGCCCAGGCGACUGUUUAUCAAAAACACAGCUCUCUGCUAAAUCGAAAGAUGAAGUAUAGGGGGUGACACCUGCCCGGUGCUGGAAGGUUAAGAGGAAGGGUGCAAGCUCUGAAUUGAAGCCCCAGUAAACGGCGGCCGUAACUAUAACGGUCCUAAGGUAGCGAAAUUCCUUGUCGGGUAAGUUCCGACCCGCACGAAUGGUGUAACGAUCUGGGCACUGUCUCAACUACCCACCCGGCGAAAUUGUAGUACCGGUGAAGAUGCCGGUUACCCGCGGCAAGACGGAAAGACCCCAUGGAGCUUUACUGUAGCCUGAUAUUGGGUUUCGGUAUUCUAUGUACAGGAUAGGCGGGAGACUGGGAACCGAUGGCGUCAGCUGUCGGGGAGUCACCCUUGGGAUACCGCUCUUAGAGUACUGGAAUUCUAACCUGCGGCCGUGAAUCCGGCCGGGGGACAUUGUCAGGUGGGCAGUUUGACUGGGGCGGUCGCCUCCAAAAAGGUAACGGAGGCGCUCAAAGGUUCGCUCAGCACGGACGGAAACCGUGCCUCUGAGUGCAAACGCAAAAGCGAGCCUAACUGCGAGGCUGACGGGCCGAGCAGUAACGAAAGUUGGAGUUAGUGAUCCGGCGGUAUGUGAGUGGAAAUGCCGUCGCUCAACGGAUAAAAGCUACCCUGGGGAUAACAGGCUGAUCUCCCCCAAGAGUCCACAUCGACGGGGAGGUUUGGCACCUCGAUGUCGGCUCAUCACAUCCUGGGGCUGAAUUCGGUCCCAAGGGUUCGGCUGUUCGCCGAUUAAAGUGGUACGCGAGCUGGGUUCAGAACGUCGUGAGACAGUUCGGUCCCUAUCUGUCGUGGGCGCAGGAUAUUUGAGGAGCGCUGUCCCUAGUACGAGAGGACCGGGAUGGACGCACCGCUGGUGCACCAGUUGUCACGCCAGUGGCACAGCUGGGCAGCUAAGUGCGGAAAGGAUAAACGCUGAAAGCAUCUAAGCGUGAAGCCACCUCCAAGAUAAGAUAUCCCACAGCGUAAGCUGGUAAGACCCCUCAAGGACUAUGAGGUUGAUAGGCUGCAUGUGUAAGUGUUGUGAGACAUUGAGCUUGGCAGUACUAAUAGGUCGAGGGCUUGACCA